This 253-nucleotide ribosomal RNA is filed under the name uncultured bacterium. RNAcentral describes it as "partial 16S ribosomal RNA". It matches the Rfam family "Bacterial small subunit ribosomal RNA", at positions 524 to 776 of the family's 1533-position model. The record is from RNAcentral.
GACGAACCGAGCGAACGUUGUUCGGAAUCACUGGGCGUAAAGGGCGCGUAGGCGGCCUUCUAAGUCGAACGUGAAAUCCCCGGGCUCAACCCGGGAACUGCGUCCGAUACUGGAAGGCUUGAAUCCGGGAGAGGGAUGCGGAAUUCCAGGUGUAGCGGUGAAAUGCGUAGAUAUCUGGAGGAACACCGGUGGCGAAGGCGGCAUCCUGGACCGGCAUUGACGCUGAGGCGCGAAAGCCAGGGGAGCAAACGGG